GACGAACGCUGGCGGCGUGCCUAAUACAUGCAAGUAGAACGCACAGUUUAUACCGUAGCUUGCUACACCAUAGACUGUGAGUUGCGAACGGGUGAGUAACGCGUAGGUAACCUGCCUGGUAGCGGGGGAUAACUAUUGGAAACGAUAGCUAAUACCGCAUAAUAUUGAUUAUUGCAUGAUAAUUGAUUGAAAGAUGCUAUUGCAUUACUACCAGAUGGACCUGCGUUGUAUUAGCUAGUAGGUGAGGUAACGGCUCACCUAGGCGACGAUACAUAGCCGACCUGAGAGGGUGAUCGGCCACACUGGGACUGAGACACGGCCCAGACUCCUACGGGAGGCAGCAGUAGGGAAUCUUCGGCAAUGGACGAAAGUCUGACCGAGCAACGCCGCGUGAGUGAAGAAGGUUUUCGGAUCGUAAAGCUCUGUUGUAAGAGAAGAACGGGUGUGAGAGUGGAAAGUUCACACUGUGACGGUAUCUUACCAGAAAGGGACGGCUAACUACGUG
Molecule: ribosomal RNA, 505 nt
Filed under: uncultured bacterium
Lineage: Bacteria
Description: partial 16S ribosomal RNA
Rfam family: Bacterial small subunit ribosomal RNA
Source: RNAcentral